GUCUUUACUGUCUGGGUGAUCAAGAAAUUGCUGAAUUGAUCCCAACAGUGGGACCAAGGUCAAAAUUCAAGAAGAGACUCAAGUUGUUAAAGGAAGAACAAAACACAACAAAUCCGGAAACAGUUGAAUCUUCUGCUCAAUGUAAACAGGAGUAUGAAGAAGAAGAUGUU
This is a long non-coding RNA of Cottoperca gobio, 170 nucleotides long. RefSeq lists it as uncharacterized. The transcript has 3 exons. The record is from RefSeq and is a predicted model, not a curated record. NCBI's taxonomy places the organism in Eukaryota, Metazoa, Chordata, Actinopteri, Perciformes, Bovichtidae.